This 320-nucleotide long non-coding RNA is filed under the name Vigna radiata. Its description in RNAcentral is "long non-coding RNA (VRAD_LNC002126)". The record is from RNAcentral. Lineage: Eukaryota; Viridiplantae; Streptophyta; Magnoliopsida; Fabales; Fabaceae.
AAUAAGAAUUGGAAAGGAAAUGUAACCAGGAAAUUGAUCUCCACCCUUCUGAAGCUGCCUUAAAGGUCCUCCACUGCACCACAAAAAGCUUCUACAGAAAGUUGUUCAUUCAUCUGUGCACGUGCCUCUUUGUCCCACUCCUUUUUUCUUUAUUCUCUUCCUUCUCUUUCCGAAAUUGGAUUUUUCUCCUUUUUUUUUUCUCUUCCCUUAUGCUCUCUUCCUGAAGUUCAAUCCUCUCCCCUUUUCUUGUUUGCAAGCUGCAUAUUUAUAUACAUACAUUUGUAAUAUUAUUGUGAUCUUGCCUUAAUGGCGAAUUAAUU